AGUGAACGCUGGCGGCAGGCCUAAUACAUGCAAGUCGAACGGCAGCACGGCAGAGCUUGCUCUGUGGGUGGCGAGUGGCGGACGGGUGAGGAAUACAUGGGAAUCUGCCCAGUCGUGGGGGAUAACGUAGGGAAACUUACGCUAAUACCGCAUGCGCCCUUCGGGGGAAAGCCGGGGACCUUCGGGCCUGGCGCGAUUGGAUGAGCCCAUGUCGGAUUAGCUAGUUGGCGGGGUAAUGGCCCACCAAGGCGACGAUCCGUAGCUGGUCUGAGAGGAUGAUCAGCCACACUGGAACUGAGACACGGUCCAGACUCCUACGGGAGGCAGCAGUAGGGAAUAUUGGACAAUGGGCGCAAGCCUGAUCCAGCCAUGCCGCGUGAGUGAAGAAGGCCCUCGGGUUGUAAAGCUCUUUCGGCGGGGAAGAAAUCGCAUCUCCUAAUACGGGGUGUGGAUGACGGUACCCGAAUAAGAAGCACCGGCUAACUACGUG
Molecule: ribosomal RNA, 490 nt
Filed under: uncultured bacterium
Lineage: Bacteria
Description: bacterial SSU rRNA
Rfam family: Bacterial small subunit ribosomal RNA
Source: RNAcentral